AAUUACCCUUGACAAUUCACUGAAAUUCGCCCUUUAACUACACUUUAACGUAUGAACAGGCCACAAUGGCGGCCAUUACACAAUCCCCUCCAACCUUCAUGCACCAUACUAAACAGGCAGUUUAUAGUUAAAGACCCACUGUACAAAUAAGUUCUUCAUUUUUCUUGCUCUUAUGCCAUUCCACCUCCAUACUCCCUCAUUUAUAACCCAUCAAUAUCUGCCCACUCUGCUAAAGAUAAAAUUCAAAAUAUUUAACAUGGCCUAGCCUAGAAUGUCUUAUAUGAUUUGACACCUGGCAGUCUCAUUUCCCAUCACGUCUCACUUUCUACAUUACAGCCCUCCAGGCCUUUAAUUUCCCAAAGCAUGUUCUUUCUUUCAGAGCAUUUGCAAAAUGUACUCCCUCAAUCUACUCUCUCUUCCCAUUUCCCCGUUUUCUCCUAGUGAAGGUUUACUCAUCCUUUGGGUCUUUA
Sapajus apella (tufted capuchin) is the source of this 470-nucleotide long non-coding RNA. RefSeq lists it as uncharacterized. Lineage: Eukaryota; Metazoa; Chordata; Mammalia; Primates; Cebidae. The record is from RefSeq and is a predicted model, not a curated record. The transcript is spliced from 2 exons.